GAUGAACGCUAGCGGCAGGCUUAAUACAUGCAAGUCGAACGGGGAAUUUGGGUAGCAAUACCUGAUGAUAGUGGCGCACGGGUGCGUAACGCGUAUGCAACCUACCUUUAACAGGGGGAUAGCCCGGAGAAAUUCGGAUUAAUACCCCAUAGUAUUAUGGAGAGGCAUCUUUUCAUGAUUAAAGUUCCGGCGGUUAAAGAUGGGCAUGCGUGCCAUUAGCUAGUUGGUGAGGUAACGGCUCACCAAGGCGACGAUGGUUAGGGGUCCUGAGAGGGUUAUCCCCCACACUGGUACUGAGACACGGACCAGACUCCUACGGGAGGCAGCAGUAAGGAAUAUUGGUCAAUGGGCGGAAGCCUGAACCAGCCAUGCCGCGUGCAGGAAGACGGCCUUAUGGGUUGUAAACUGCUUUUGUCAGGGAAUAAACCCUCGUUUGCGAACGAGGCUGAAGGUACCUGAAGAAUAAGCAUCGGCUAACUCCGUG
This 484-nucleotide ribosomal RNA is filed under the name uncultured bacterium. RNAcentral describes it as "bacterial SSU rRNA". It matches the Rfam family "Bacterial small subunit ribosomal RNA", at positions 28 to 507 of the family's 1533-position model. The record is from RNAcentral.